Scleropages formosus (Asian bonytongue) is the source of this 1961-nucleotide long non-coding RNA. Lineage: Eukaryota; Metazoa; Chordata; Actinopteri; Osteoglossiformes; Osteoglossidae. The record is from Ensembl.
CUCCUGUUCUGCGUCAAGUCACACGCUGCAACAAACACAUGAAGCAACACCAAGAUGUAAGAAAGCGCAAGAAUAAAUAAUAAAACCGAAAGAAAUAGGGGCAAGCAAAUGCCAGAGAGCAAGGGAAUGAAGAGCAACCAGUUAAAGGAAUGAGAGCCACGAAGGAAGACGUACAGCGAGAGAGAACCAGUAUUGAAGACAAGACAAGCACAGCAAAGGACCAUCAGGGUAGUUAAAAACAGAAAAGGGAGCACAUGAGAGGACUGAAAUUUGACAGAAACAGUAAAAGAUGGAGUUCCCAACAGGUUCAGAGAAACCAAGUGGAACAUUUCCAGAUACAGCCAAUAGUGUGACCUAUGGGAGAAGGGUGGGGCCCAUCACUAUCGCUGUGGCUGUGGGUCUAGGACUUCUGAUGCUCAUCAUCAUCAUCUGUGUACUGAAGCACUGCUGCAAGUGUUCCUGCUGCCGUCGCCGAAAGCCUACUUUAAAACAGAGAGUGCUUAAAAAAAUGGCUAUACAGAAGAAGUCGUCAAUGCCAUUCUCUGUCAGUGGAAUGAUGGACAAGAAAUGAAAAUCCCACCUGUUGCUGAUGCCUUAUGACCAAAUUAACUAUUGCAACUUGUAACCGUUAGCCAUAACAUCUGUAUGAGACAUGCAAUGGACUUUUCUGAACACUGUAGUCUUUUUACAUUUACAUUUAUUCGUUUAGCUGAUGGUUUUCUCCAAGUCAGCUUACAUUGUUAAGCUACAAACUAUUAUUUACCCGUCACAGAACUUGGGAACACAUAAAUAUAUUUUGCACCAAAGCGAUUUUUUACACUCACUCACUCACUCACUCACCUUUGCUAACCAUUAAUCCCCCUGGUCAGGGUCACGGCAGCCUGGAGCCUAUCCUGAAAGCACCAGGCGCAAGGUUUGGGGGGGUACACCCUGGAUGAGUCAGUAUUAUAUCACAGGGAAGUCACACAUACAAAGCCACACUCAAUCACUCACGCAUUCACACACCGCAGGCUCUUUAGCAUCACAAAAUCACCUUAACCGCUUGUCUUUAGAAACCAGAACACCUGAAGGAAACACACAUGGACAUAGGGAGAACGUGGAAACUCUACACAGACUAAGCCAGAUUCAAACCUAUGCCUGAACAGCCCAGCUGCCACGAUGCAGCAACACUUGUAAAAUACACUUUGACAUUUAAGAUGAACCCCAGAAGUUGCUGACCAGAAAGUGCUGCGCUGGACAUACAAUAUCCGACUGUACAAAUAGAUAAAAUUAUGAGUCUCUUAGGGUAUAGGGUGGCGCAAUGGGUUUGGCCUGGUCUUGCUCUCUGGUGGGUCUGGGAUUCGAGUCCCGCUUGGGGUGCCUUGUGAUGGACUGGCGUCCCGUCCUGGGUGUGUCCCCUCCCCCUCCAGCCUUGCGCCCUGUGUUGCCGGGUUAGGCUCCAGCUCGCCGCGACCACACUCGGGACAAGCAACUUCAGUCAGUGUGUGCGUGUGUGUAUGUGUCUUAGGGUAAAAGUGUGAAGAAAGUAAGAAAAUGGUAAUAAUCUUAGGCUGUGAAGAUCAGUGUGGGCUGAUGAGUUUCAUUUAAAGUGGUUAACGUGGGUGUGAGACCGAGACUUUCUAGCACGAGCGGUUAAUACACAUAAGAAGCAGUUCCCUGGGAUUCAGUUCCUCACGAAAUGUGUAAGCAUCUUUGUUUAAGGAACUUCUUCAAAGAAUUCUUUCUGCUGAGUAUCAUAACACAUUUUCAUUACUCCAUGUAAAGGAAACUUCAGAACACUUUUUUGCGAGAAGAAUUCAGCAGGCUUUCAAACAGUGUGGCUGAAGUUUCUUUCAGUUAUUGAUUUACUGAAUAACUGAGUUUGUCCUUUGUAAUUUAAAAUCUUUGUAUUUAAAAGCAUCAAAGUAAUGCUUGUUUUUCUCUCGUGUAAAUAAAACAGACUUCCUGGUCUGUUUGGUUCA